This 280-nucleotide long non-coding RNA is filed under the name Mytilus galloprovincialis (Mediterranean mussel). Lineage: Eukaryota; Metazoa; Mollusca; Bivalvia; Mytilida; Mytilidae. The record is from RNAcentral.
UGCAUGUUCAGGACGAUAAACACCAUGUAAAACUAUUUCCUAAUCAAUUCAAUAACUUAUAUUGAUUGUCGUAUUAAUUUCAUAUGACAACAGUAUACAAUAUACAUACGAUCAAUCUUUACUUGCAUAAUUGAUUUCCAUUAUACAAUGUUAUUAGGUAAUAUGCAUUGCAACAAGUAGUUCAUUUUUUUCCAUACAUUAUUGUCUUACAUAUAUCUUUCUUCACGGCUAGAAGUGGUGUUAUGUCCCUUUGUAAAACAAGAGAGUUGAGGAAAAAUCU